AAUAAAUAUUAAUAAAAAAAUUUUUAAAUUUAUUAAGUAUUUUAAUGGGGGUUAAAGUAUUUUAAUAGAAAAAAUUUAAAUUUUUAUAGUUAAUUAGUAUUGUGGGAGAAAUUUGAAAUAAUUAUAAAAUAUAAAUUUAUUAAAAAGUAAUUUUUAUUUAGUGUAUCUUGUGUAUCAGAGUUUAUUAAAAAUUUAUUUUGGUUAAAAUUUUCUCGAAUUUAAAAGAGCGAAUUAAAUAUAAAAGUUAUUGUAGUAAAAAUAUUUUUAAUAUUUAAUUUGAAAUGAAAUGUUAUUCGUUUUUAAAUAUAUCUAGUUUUUUUAGAAAAAAAUUUAAUUUUAAAUUGAUUUUUAAACAUUUAUAUUUUAUUAAUAAAUUUUUAAGAUUAAUUUUAUAUUUUAAGGGAUAAGCUUUAAAUUAAAUUAAUAUAAUAUUUAAUUUAAUAUUGAAAAUUAUAUAAUUUAUAUUGUUAAAAAAUUUUAUUUUAUUAUAAAUAAUUUCAAUUAAUAUAAAAUUUAAUUAAAAUUUAUUAUUUUAUAAGAAAAAUAUAUUUAAUAAUAUAAUUUAAGUUAUAAUGAUAAAAUUAGUAUAAAUUUUUAUUAAUAUUAUUAAAUUUAAUUUAAGGUAUUUUAAAGGAAUUCGGCAAAAUUUUAUAUUCACUUGUUUAUCAAAAACAUGUCUUUUUGAAAAUAAUUUAAAGUCUAAUCUGCCCACUGAUUAAUAAUUAAAGGGCUGCAGUAUUUUGACUGUACAAAGGUAGCAUAAUCAUUAGUCAUUUAAUUGAUGACUUGUAUGAAAGAUUGGAUGAAAUAUGAACUGUCUUUAAAUUAAAUAUAGAAUUUAAUUUUUAAGUUAAAAAGCUUAAAUAAUUUAAAAAGACGAGAAGACCCUAUAGAGUUUUAUUAUUUAUUUAAAUUAAUAUUUUUAUAAUUAUUUAUAUUUAUGUUAAUUUUUAAUAAAUAAUUUUAUUGGGGUGAUAAAAAAAUUUAAUUAACUUUUUUUAAUUUAAAAACAUAAAUAAGUGAAUAUUUGAUCCAUAUUUUAUGAUUAUAAGAAAAAAUUACCUUAGGGAUAACAGCGUAAUUUUAUUUUUUAGUUCAAAUAAGAAAUAGAGUUUGCGACCUCGAUGUUGGAUUAAGAUAAAAUUUAAAUGCAGAAGUUUAAAAGUUUUGAUCUGUUCGAUCAUUAAAAUCUUACAUGAUCUGAGUUCAAACCGGUGUAAGCCAGGUUGGUUUCUAUCUUUUAAAAAUAAAAAUAUUUUAGUACGAAAGGAUUAAAUAUUUAAAUUAUAUUUUUUAAUUUGAAUUUUAUUAAAUAUAUAUAUAUAUAUAUAUAUAUACAUAAAAAAAAAUUAUUAUGGGUUU
Molecule: ribosomal RNA, 1362 nt
Filed under: Lymantria sp. AN-2017
Lineage: Eukaryota; Metazoa; Arthropoda; Insecta; Lepidoptera; Erebidae
Description: large subunit ribosomal RNA
Rfam family: Eukaryotic large subunit ribosomal RNA (bases 1069-1228)
Source: RNAcentral